Long non-coding RNA from Trachemys scripta elegans, 947 nucleotides. RefSeq lists it as uncharacterized. Lineage: Eukaryota; Metazoa; Chordata; Testudines; Emydidae. The transcript has 3 exons. The record is from RefSeq and is a predicted model, not a curated record.
AAGGUGAGUUUGGUCUCCAGAUGCUGUGCUGUGUCCAUUAGCAGCUCAUCUCUGUUGUCAAUCGCUGCCUCUGCCUCACGACGAAAAUUGGCCCAUUUCCGAAAGUCAUCUUCACUCAAAACCUGUGCAACAGGGAUACAGGUCUGAACUGGACUGAGUCAAUGAGAAAGAUUGACCAAGGUUUGCUAAUUUUAGCCGUUGGAGCAGCUGGUGAAUCCUCUCCAAGGAGAUCCCUGAUGGUUUCAUCAGUGGUGGCGCUGUAACCUUGAGACAUGAGAAGACAUUGGGAACAUUACACCUGAAAUUAAACAAGAAUGGACCACACAGCGCUGCUUAUAUUUUUCUCCAGGAUCAGCAGACUCCAUUUUCAUUAACGCUAUCAAAUGCCACGAAAGAAACAACAUCAUCAUCUGUUUCCUUCUCAGGAUUACACUGACAGCAACAUAUUAAUUGAUGAAACCAUCUCAUAUUUCAACAAAACAGCAAAACCUGUCAAGCAUAGAUGCACUCACAAAACAUUCAAGCUUGGAUAAUUCUUGUAGCCACCUAGCUCCAUAAUCCUAAAACCUCUCAAGAUAUAGCGAUAAAGUAUAAAACCCAUACAAGAGGCAUUAGGAAAUGUCUGGGAACCCAACUGGGUUUGCGGAGGAGGCAGCCAAGCUAAUGGCUGGCACCUCCUUGUGGCGGAUGUCCAGUGCAGGUACUCCAUAGGGAAGGUAUACAGUGACCGGAUAAUGGGUUGGAAAAGGACUUAAAAAGAGGUGUCAAUAAAGGAGCGAAUGGGGGAUGGUUUGGGACCCCUAUGAUUGAUACGGCAGGGAGCUAACCCCCAUUAUUAUAGUCCACCUUAACCCUCCUAUGAGCUGGUGGUGGAAGGUAAGGUCCUGUCAAUGGAUUUGCUUGAGUGACCUGGGUGGAAAAAGAGGGGGAGCUGGUAAAAAGCCCCC